RNAcentral lists this ribosomal RNA (432 nucleotides) under uncultured bacterium. RNAcentral describes it as "partial 16S ribosomal RNA". It matches the Rfam family "Bacterial small subunit ribosomal RNA", at positions 29 to 506 of the family's 1533-position model. The record is from RNAcentral.
AACGAACGCUGGCGGCAGGCCUAACACAUGCAAGUCGAGCGAGGACUUCGGUCCUAGCGGCGGACGGGUGAGUAACGCGUGGGAACGUGCCCUUUGCUUCGGAAUAGCCCUGGGAAACUGGGAGUAAUACCGGAUGAGCCCUUUGGGGGAAAGAUUUAUCGGCGAAGGAUCGGCCCGCGUUGGAUUAGGUAGUUGGUGGGGUAAUGGCCUACCAAGCCGACGAUCCAUAGCUGGUUUGAGAGGAUGAUCAGCCACACUGGGACUGAGACACGGCCCAGACUCCUACGGGAGGCAGCAGUGGGGAAUCUUAGACAAUGGGGGAAACCCUGAUCUAGCCAUGCCGCGUGAGCGGUGAAGGCCUUAGGGUUGUAAAGCUCUUUCAGCUGGGAAGAUAAUGACGGUACCAGCAGAAGAAGCCCCGGCUAACUCCGU